RNAcentral lists this ribosomal RNA (490 nucleotides) under uncultured bacterium. RNAcentral describes it as "partial 16S ribosomal RNA". It matches the Rfam family "Bacterial small subunit ribosomal RNA", at positions 30 to 507 of the family's 1533-position model. The record is from RNAcentral.
AUUGAACGCUGGCGGCAGGCCUAACACAUGCAAGUCGAACGGUAACAGGAAACAGCUUGCUGUUUCGCUGACGAAUGGCGGACGGGUGAGUAAUGUCUGGGAAACUGCCUGAUGGAGGGGGAUAACUACUGGAAACGGUAGCUAAUACCGCAUAACGUCGCAAGACCAAAGAGGGGGACCCUCGGGCCUCUUGCCAUCGGAUGUGCCCAGAUGGGAUUAGCUUGUUGGUGGGGUAACGGCUCACCAAGGCGACGAUCCCUAGCUGGUCUGAGAGGAUGACCAGCCACACUGGAACUGAGACACGGUCCAGACUCCUACGGGAGGCAGCAGUGGGGAAUAUUGCACAAUGGGCGCAAGCCUGAUGCAGCCAUGCCGCGUGUAUGAAGAAGGCCUUCGGGUUGUAAAGUACUUUCAGCGGGGAGGAAGGGAGUAAAGUUAAUACCUUUGCUCAUUGACGUUACCCGCAGAAGAAGCACCGGCUAACUCCGUG